RNAcentral lists this ribosomal RNA (253 nucleotides) under uncultured bacterium. RNAcentral's name for it is "partial 16S ribosomal RNA". It matches the Rfam family "Bacterial small subunit ribosomal RNA", at positions 524 to 776 of the family's 1533-position model. The record is from RNAcentral.
GACAGGGGGCUCGAGCGUUAAUCGGAAUCACUGGGCUUAAAGGGCGCGUAGGCGGGCGGUCAAGUCAGAGGUGAAAUCCCACGGCUCAACCGUGGAAGUGCCCCUGAUACUGACUGUCUCGAGGGAGGUAGGGGCGUGCGGAACUUCCGGUGGAGCGGUGAAAUGCGUAGAUAUCGGAAGGAACACCGAUGGCGAAAGCAGCGCGCUGGACCUCUACUGACGCUGAGGCGCGAAAGCCAGGGGAGCAAACGGG